ACGGCGAGUGAAGCGGCAACAGCUCAAAUUUGAAAUCUGGCCUUCGGGUCCGAGUUGUAAUUUGCAGAGGAUGCUUUGGGCGCGGCGCCUUCCGAGUUCCCUGGAACGGGACGCCAUAGAGGGUGAGAGCCCCGUCUGGUUGGAUGCCUAGCCUGUGUAAAGCUCCUUCGACGAGUCGAGUAGUUUGGGAAUGCUGCUCUAAAUGGGAGGUACAUGCCUUCUAAAGCUAAAUACCGGCCAGAGACCGAUAGCGCACAAGUAGAGUGAUCGAAAGAUGAAAAGCACUUUGAAAAGAGGGUUAAAUAGUACGUGAAAUUGUUGAAAGGGAAGCGCUUGUGACCAGACUUGGGCGUGGUGAAUCAUCCGGCGUUCUCGCCGGUGCACUUUGCCUGUCCAGGCCAGCAUCAGCUCGUCGCGGGGGACAAAGGCUUCGGGAAUGUGGCUCCCUCGGGAGUGUUAUAGACCGUUGCGUAAUACCCUGCGGUGGGCUGAGGUUCGCGCAUCUGCUCGGAUGCUGGCGUAAUGGUCAUCAGCGACCCGUCUUGAAACACGGACCAAGGAGUCGUCUUCGUAUGCGAGUGUUCGGGUGUCAAACCCCUACGCGUAAUGAAAGUGAACGCAGGUGAGAGCUUCGGCGCAUCAUCGACCGAUCCUGAUGUUCUCGGAUGGAUUUGAGUAAGAGCAUACGGGGCCGGACCCGAAAGAAGGUGAACUAUGCCUGUAUAGGGUGAAGCCAGAGGAAACUCUGGUGGAGGCUCGCAGCGGUUCUGACGUGCAAAUCGAUCGUCAAAUAUGGGCAUGGGGGCGAAAGACUAAUCGAACCUUCUAGUAGCUGGUUUCCGCCGAAG
This 848-nucleotide ribosomal RNA is filed under the name Neoacremonium vitellinum. RNAcentral describes it as "Acremonium vitellinum partial large subunit ribosomal RNA". It matches the Rfam family "Eukaryotic large subunit ribosomal RNA", at positions 86 to 966 of the family's 3401-position model. Lineage: Eukaryota; Fungi; Ascomycota; Sordariomycetes; Hypocreales; Neoacremoniaceae. The record is from RNAcentral.